UACGUAGGCAGCGAGCGUUGUUCGGAGUUACUGGGCGUAAAGCGUGCGUAGGCGGUCUUGUAAGUCUGUUGUGAAAUCUCCCGGCUUAACUGGGAGGGCGCGGUGGAAACUGCAAGGCUGGAGUAUGGGAGAGGUAGGCGGAAUUCCUGGUGUAGCGGUGAAAUGCGUAGAUAUCAGGAGGAACACCUGUGGUGUAGACGGCUUACUGGACCAUGACUGACGCUGAGGCACGAAAGCGUGGGGAGCAAACAGG
Molecule: ribosomal RNA, 253 nt
Filed under: uncultured bacterium
Lineage: Bacteria
Description: partial 16S ribosomal RNA
Rfam family: Bacterial small subunit ribosomal RNA
Source: RNAcentral